Molecule: ribosomal RNA, 813 nt
Filed under: uncultured bacterium
Lineage: Bacteria
Description: bacterial SSU rRNA
Rfam family: Bacterial small subunit ribosomal RNA
Source: RNAcentral
ACCUAGCGGCGAACGGUUGAGUAACACGUAGGCAACCUGCCCCGGAGUGGGGGAUAACCCACGGAAACGCGGGCUAAUACCGCAUGUGGCCGGAGGACGCCUGUCCUCUGUGCUAAAGGAGCAAUUCGCUCCGGGAGGGGCCUGCGGCCUAUCAGCUUGUUGGUGAGGUAACGGCUCACCAAGGCGACGACGGGUAGCUGGUCUGAGAGGAUGAUCAGCCAGACAGGGACUGAGACACGGCCCUGACUCCUUCGGGGGGCAGCAAUGAGGGAUAUUGCACAAUGGGCGAAAGCCUGAUGCAGCGACGCCGCGUGGGUGAUGAAGUCUUUCGGGAUGUAAAGCCCUCUUCUCGGGGACGAUACGGACGGUACUCGAGGAAUAAGCCCCGGCUAACUCCGUGCCAGCAGCCGCGGUAAUACGGGGGGGGCGAGCGUUGUCCGGAUUUACUGGGCGUAAAGCGCGUGUAGGCGGUUUCUUAAGUCCGGGGUGAAAGGCGGAGGCUCAACCUCCGAGCGGCGCCGGAAACUGGGAGACUGGAGUGUCGGAGAGGGGAGUGGAAUUCCUGGUGUAGCGGUGAAAUGCGUAGAGAUCAGGAGGAACACCCGUGGCGAAGGCGGCUCCCUGGCCGAACACUGACGCUGAGACGCGAAAGCGCGGGGAGCGAACGGGAUUAGAUACCCCGGUAGUCCGCGCCGUAAACGAUGGUCACUAGGUGUACGCGGUAUCGACCCCGCGUGUGCCGCAGCUAACGCAAUAUGUGACCCGCCUGGGGAGUACGGCCGCAAGGUUGAAACUCAAAGGAAUUGACGGGGG